This 59-nucleotide transfer RNA is filed under the name Armadillidium vulgare (common pillbug). RNAcentral describes it as "tRNA-Val". The record is from RNAcentral. Lineage: Eukaryota; Metazoa; Arthropoda; Malacostraca; Isopoda; Armadillidiidae.
AUUAAACUCAGAAGAUGUUUUUGUUAAACAGGCAAAAAUUAGGUUUGCUUAGUUUAUUA